Molecule: ribosomal RNA, 432 nt
Filed under: uncultured eukaryote
Lineage: Eukaryota
Description: bacterial SSU rRNA
Rfam family: Eukaryotic small subunit ribosomal RNA
Source: RNAcentral
CAAUAGCGUAUAUUAAAGUUGUUGCAGUUAAAAAGCUCGUAGUCGGAUUUUGGCAUCAUGCCGAACUGUCGGCCGAUUGGUUUGUACGGUUUGGCGGGUGCUCUCCUUCCGGAGGCUCGUUUCCUCUUUCAUUAGAGGGUUCGAUGGUUCCGGGUCUUUUACUUUGAAAAAAUUAGAGUGUUCAAAGCAGGCCUAUGCUCUGAAUAGGUUAGCAUGGAAUAAUAAAAUAGGACUUUGGUUCUAUUUUGUUGGUUUCUAGGACCGAAGUAAUGAUUAAUAGGGACAGUUGGGGGGCAUUUCUACUAUUUCCAAUGUCGAGAAGGUUGUAAAGUUCUUUAGGAUUAAAUCGGAAGAUAGAACUUCUGCGAAACGCAUCUUGCCUAAGGAUGUUUUCAUUAGAGUCAAGAACGAAAGUUAGGGGAUCGAAGACGA